UUUAAAAGGAGCCUCUUUGUUCCCAAAAUCUUCAUCCUUUGAUUUCUCUAUUCUCAAUAUCUCCUCAAUUUUUCUCUAGUCUUCAAACACUUCUCAAGAUGCAGAUCUUCGUUAAAACCCUAACUGGAAAGACCAUAACCCUUGAGGUUGAAAGCUCCGACACUAUUGACAACGUUAAGGCUAAGAUUCAGGACAAAGAAGGAAUCCCACCGGACCAGCAAAGGCUGAUCUUCGCCGGAAAGCAGCUCGAAGACGGCAGAACCCUAGCCGACUACAACAUCCAAAAGGAAUCGACCCUUCACUUGGUGCUCCGUCUUAGAGGAGGCAUGCAAAUCUUCGUCAAAACCCUAACCGGGAAAACAAUCACCCUUGAAGUUGAAAGCUCCGACACUAUUGAUAACGUUAAGGCGAAAAUCCAGGAUAAAGAGGGAAUCCCACCCGACCAGCAAAGGCUGAUCUUUGCCGGAAAGCAACUUGAAGACGGCCGAACCCUCGCUGAUUACAACAUCCAGAAGGAGUCUACCCUUCACUUGGUUCUCCGUCUUCGCGGCGGGAUGCAGAUCUUUGUCAAAACCCUAACCGGGAAAACAAUCACCCUUGAAGUUGAAAGCUCUGACACUAUCGACAAUGUUAAGGCUAAGAUUCAGGACAAGGAAGGAAUCCCACCAGAUCAGCAGAGGUUGAUAUUUGCUGGUAAGCAGUUGGAAGAUGGCCGAACCCUAGCUGAUUACAACAUCCAGAAGGAAUCAACUCUUCACUUGGUGCUCCGUCUUCGCGGCGGCAUGCAAAUCUUCGUCAAAACCCUAACCGGGAAAACAAUCACCCUUGAAGUUGAAAGCUCUGACACUAUUGACAAUGUUAAGGCUAAGAUUCAGGACAAGGAAGGAAUCCCACCAGAUCAGCAGAGGUUGAUAUUUGCUGGUAAACAGUUGGAAGAUGGCCGAACCCUCGCUGAUUACAACAUCCAGAAGGAGUCGACUUUGCACCUUGUGCUUCGUCUUCGUGGUGGGAUGCAGAUUUUUGUGAAGACGUUAACCGGGAAAACCAUCACUUUGGAGGUGGAAAGUUCUGAUACUAUUGACAAUGUGAAAGCUAAGAUUCAGGACAAGGAGGGUAUCCCCCGGAUCAGCAGAGGCUGAUCUUUGCGGGAAAGCAAUUGGAAGAUGGACGAACCCUCGCUGAUUACAACAUUCAGAAGGAGUCCACCCUGCACCUUGUCCUCCGUCUCCGUGGUGGUUUCUAAAGUGUCUGUCAGUGCCUGUGUCUGUGUCUGGGGUCUGUUUGGUUCAUGAUUUAGAAUUUGUGUAGUUUCUGUUAGUUGUCAUCAUGUUAUGUUUCCAAAAGAGGCGAGGAGGCUUGUUCCCUCUUGUCUCUGUUUGUGAAUAAUAAAGUUUAAUUAUUGUUUAAA
This is a non-coding RNA of Nicotiana tabacum (common tobacco), 1408 nucleotides long. The record is from RefSeq and is a predicted model, not a curated record. NCBI's taxonomy places the organism in Eukaryota, Viridiplantae, Streptophyta, Magnoliopsida, Solanales, Solanaceae.